AAUUACCCCUAACUUAUUUUUUUGUAAUUUUGUGCACCUUUUUGGCUUACUUGACAUCCAAAUAUCUCCCAGCGCCUUAAUUGCAUGGAGUCACGGAGUGUGCCACGUAAGACAAAAGGUGUAUAAAAUUACUCAAAAAAAUAAAUACAGGGGUAAUAGGACCUUAGUUUAGUGAAGGUGUGUCUCUUCAAUUUUGAUCAUAGUCUAGGGGAUACUUGUGCAUUUUUCCGGUGAGAAAUUAUGGACUUUCAAUCAUUUGUAAUGGCUUUUCUUCAUUUGGGUUUGCGAAACUUUUGUGUCUUGCCAUAUGAAGAGCUUUUUCUUUAUUGUUCUUGGUAUGUUGAUUUCUUGAGCUAUUUAUUUUGUAUGUUUUGCAACCUUGCAUAUAUCAUGUAGUUGAAAAUCAGAGGUGUAAAUUUGCUCUCUCUCUCUUUUGACUCAUUCAUAAUCUUUUAUCAUUGAGUCUUUUGUGAAUUAUGAUACUAUUAAUUACCCUUUUCUGUUUUGGAGGAGAAAUGAUUUUUUUAAAACUACUCCUUUUCUUCUUUCAGAAUUUGCAUGAUAAUUUGUUAGUAUCUUAUCCUAGUAUGUUGUUUAUGGUAUUUCAAUUAUCACGUGAUUUUAAUGCGAUUUUGGCUACUUUUUCAGUGUUUCUUGUUUCGAUUCUUUGUAUUGUCCUCUUUUUUUUUAUAUCCGAUUUGUUGCACUUGAGUUUUCAAUAGCAAUCUCUCUACAUGAGUAGUGACAACUAGUUUGGUUAUUGACAAGGAAAAAAAUGGAUCAAGUACCAAGAAUGUCAAUUACUGAAUUUGACGCUGCUGCGACUAAGAUGCAGACAAUGUCAAGAGUUAUAGGACAAGAAGGAACCUUGCAGAUUGUGCUCUACUUGUUGAAUAACAUUAGUUUGUUUGCUGCCUUUCUCUUAUGUAAAAAUAGUUAUAGUUUCUACUCUUGGUUUACAGUUUUUUCCUUCUAGGAGGAAUGCAUGGAUUCUGCAGCUUUAAAGCAGAGCUCUAUUUCAUUUUUUGAUGUCAAUAAACAUGAAGCUGCGAAUCAAGGUGGUCACGUGCAAGAAAAAGGGUUACUAAGAUAUGUUAUGAGAGUCAACUAUACCUCCAUGUUGUCUCAAAUGCUAUUGAAAAUCGAACAAAAUUACGUUUGUGAUAUAAAGGCAGGCAAAGGUUUGAAGGAUGAAAAGGCUGGUAACACUGUAUUAAUUGAUUAUCGUUAUGGACAUAACUUACACUUGUACUAUGAUGUAUGGUUCAACAGCAGAAAUAUCUAACCUUUCUUCUAUUGUUAAGAUCACCGGUCAGAAGCACAAGUAGUUUUGGUUUAAAUUUACAUUAUAGGUCUGCUUCUUUUUUGAAAGUUGGAUGUGGGUGAUGGGAAAGAACUAAAUCUUGAGAGUUACAAUAGAGCUGAUUUGCAAUGUUGAUUCUUCAACCAUUUAUUUGGACCUAAAGAAAGGGAAGCUAAUGAAGUAGUUGUGGAUGCUGGCAACUUGGUAUAUAAGCAAAGCGGUAUGCUACGAAAACAAUAGUGGAUUGUACUUCUAUUUCUACAAGGAUCCAAGUAUAAGACCAAUGCAACAUUUGAGAGUCUCAAUAGCAAGCUACUAUAGUUAAGUCCCUUUCAAAAAAUUAAGUUAAUAUCAGAUCUUAAAUUGAUAAAACAGAUACUUCACUUAGUCUUAGCCAAGGCCGAGAAAGGUAUGCUUUUCUUCAUAUUAACUUGUUCAAACUGUACCCGAUGCUUUCUUCCUCUCUUCAUUUAAAUGCUUGAUGUGGAAAUAUAUCCAGAUCAAAUAAAGUUACUAGCUUCUAUAUUAGAUGGCUUGGCGUUUGAUAAGGUGAUUAUUAAUGGUAAUGAAGUGUUCCAUAUUAUUUGGUCCUUAUACAAAAUAUAGGUAUUUCAUAUUACUUAUUUAAUUUAAAAUAUUAA
Molecule: non-coding RNA, 1944 nt
Organism: Solanum lycopersicum (tomato)
Lineage: Eukaryota; Viridiplantae; Streptophyta; Magnoliopsida; Solanales; Solanaceae
Source: RefSeq, a predicted model, not a curated record